Molecule: long non-coding RNA, 162 nt
Organism: Papaver somniferum (opium poppy)
Lineage: Eukaryota; Viridiplantae; Streptophyta; Magnoliopsida; Ranunculales; Papaveraceae
Exons: 3
Source: RefSeq, a predicted model, not a curated record
CAACGUAAAUAAAAUACAGAUCGAGAAUGCGAAUCAGGGAAAAGAAAAAGGUAGAUUGGUAAUUGGGUUGUACGGCCAGACUUUCCCCAAAUUAGUUGUCGCGUUGGCAUCAAUAGGGAUGGCGGCGUUGAGGAUGUCGGUUGGCGGAGGCGAUGAGGAUGC